Anguilla rostrata (American eel) is the source of this 3074-nucleotide long non-coding RNA. RefSeq lists it as uncharacterized. Lineage: Eukaryota; Metazoa; Chordata; Actinopteri; Anguilliformes; Anguillidae. The transcript is spliced from 3 exons. The record is from RefSeq and is a predicted model, not a curated record.
AGCUGACUGACUGGGAUAUAUAUGAAAUGCUCUCUGCUCCUGUAAACCAGCUGUUGGGGAGCUUGACUGAGAACCACAACUUUGAUGUAACCACACAUCUGAAAUAGAGGAGAUUUCACGAUGAUGCAUGAGAGAGGCAAUGAAUUGACAGUGUUUGACAAUGCCCAGGUUCGGAAUACGUGGGAGAGCAGAGUGAACCAGUACAAAGAGAAGGAGACAUGUGAAAAUGAGCGACGCCAGAAGAGUGCUCUGCCACAGCUUUUCAAUCAGUGGAAUCAACGCUGGGCAUGCAGAAAUGGGGGACCUGAGAAGAAAGGUAAAGGAUAUGAGAUCUCAGAAUUCAGGAAGACCCUGGAGCUUAAAUCUGAAGAAGUUGAACAACCCAAGCCUGUGGCUGUCCAACCCAGACCAAGACCAACACCUAUUGCAAGCACACCUCUGAUUCCUCCACUGCCCAAAAUCCCCCCACCAAAGAAACGUGAUCCAGAGGCACGUAAACCCCACAGUGCACCUAAGCCCCAGUUUCAGCCACCACCGAAACGAGAGGAAGUUAAGCUCAGAAAAGUCCAAAAAUCUGAAACAAUACCGAAAGAGACAGUGAAGACAAGUAGAGAGAAAGUAGUUCUGUCAAGUAUUAGUGACAAACCUAGUCAUGCGCCAACUCCUCCGCCUCCCAAGAAAGAAGUGCAGAAAGUACAACAUAUACCAUCUCUUAGAGAUUGGAAUCACUCUUGGAAAUAUGCCAGGCCACAGCCGCAUCAUAAGACGAAACCUGUUAAAACACAAAAAGACACACGGUUUAUGUCAAAUAGAAACAAGUCAAUUAAGUUCAAGGAGUCUGUAACAUAUUUCAAAACACCAUCCCUUUCAGAGUGGAUUGAGUCAUGGAAGUUCAUAAAGAACCCCAAAAGACAAGAAUGCAUGACAGAGGAAUUGAAGUUCAAGGGGUCCUUGUUCUUUGAGCUUGAGCAGAAAAAAAUAUCUCCAACAGAGUGGGCUAAGUCCUGGAAGGUCUUGAAUCUCCAGCUCCACCAAGAAAAUGAAUCUUGGGAAAAAAGUUGGUCCCAGUAUUGCCGAGAUUUCCAAAGUGACAAAUUACAGAAUUCACAGCUCUACAAUGAACCAGCAUCUCUAUUUGGUUGGGAGGAAUCCUGGAGGUUCUUAAAGCCUGAACCUAUGCAGGAGAAAGAAAAAAUUCCUGAUGAUAAGUCUAAUGAGUCAAUGGUUCUUCAGCCUAUGAAAAUGAAUAGACUGCUAAAUUGGACUGACUCUUGGAAACUCACAAAUGCUCAGUGCGAUGAUGAUAUUAUCUCUCUGACAGAGUGGAGUGAGUCUUGGAGGUCCUGUGCAGUACAAGACAAGCGCACAGAUUCCCUGGAUUUCUGUCACAGUGAUGUAAUAUGUAUGCCAAAGUAUAUCAAAUUAAGCGGGUUGCUCAAUUCUCAAAUUCUUGAAGAGAAUCCGUCUUUAUUGCAGUGGUCUGAGUCAUGGAUGUUCCCAAAGUCGCAGGAAAACAAAUGCGAGAAUGAAUCUGAGUUUAAUGAAGACAUUGCUAAUCCACUUUUGUCUCCCCAAUCCCCAAACAAAACCUCUUUCUCAGAGUGGAAAGAAUCCUGGAAAUUUUCAAAUGCUAAUAAUGAGAAGACCUCUCAAUCACCAUGGAUCAAUUCCUGGAAAUUAUCAAUCUCCAAGUCACACGAGGAGGUAAUGGUUUUGUCAGAAGGGGAUACAAACGUGUCAAACCAACUUGUACAUUUUCAGCCCUAUAAUAAUAAAUUUUCAAUGUUAGAGUGGGACAAAUCCUGUGAAAAUCUGUCUGAGCCUGAGUGGUGUGAGUCUUGGAAGACUAUAAAACCUCAACUACAGCAAGACACAGAGCCAGUAAGUAUGCCUAAGGAAUCUUCAUGCAUGCAAUUCAACUCAAAGAAAGUGUGUCUGUCAGACUGGAAAGAGUCAUGGAAGCUGUCAGCGUCCCAGGUACACCCUCAUGCACCAUCUUCUCAUACACCAUCUCAAUCAGAAUGGACAGACUCUUGGAGGCUAUUGAAUUCUAAACCACACAAGGAACAAGACUUCUGGCCAGAUAUAAGCACUUUCAAGGAGUCAUUGAAUGGACUUUUCCACAUGGAGAACCCAUCCAGCUCUGAGUGGAGUGAUUCCUGGAAGUUUCUGAAGUCUGGCCCCCCAGGUUCUCAGGCAAACAGUGAGAACAUACCGGAGUCAGAAUGGGGAGCAUCCUGGAAAUUUGUGAAUCCCCAGUGCAAUUUGGAAGGCGUGCCCUGGUCACAGCAAGAUGAGUGCAAUUUCCCAGAUAAUGUCCAGACCAAAAAUGAGUUAUCUAUUCUCUCAAGGGGGGACAGAUCCAGCACGUGCUUUGAUGAUGAGCUCCAACUCUGUCUGACUGAGUGGAAUGAGUCCUGGAAAUUCUUGAAGCCCCAAACUCAAGAGCAGCGAGAAGCUAAGUCAAAGUAGGGUCCAGAGUGAAUUUAGAAAUGGAAGAGGACAACCCUGGACAUCCUCAGUCAUGUAGUAAAAUGAUUUGAUUCACAGAAUGGCUAUUGGUAUAUAGUGCAUCAGCGUGACAAAGGAAUUGUAAGUUUUGAAACAGAUAUAAAAUUAUGCAACGAUUUUUGUUGGGAAUUGUUCAUUGUCAUUUUCCACUGUAAACAGAACUGCAUGCUAUUGAAACAUUUCACAUGACAAUAUAACAGUAAGACAGACAUGGAAUGUAUUUAGGUAAAUUAGUCAGGAUAAAGGAUUUACUUCAAUGCCUCGCUGAAUUGAUAAACUCACUAAACUCUCAUUUACUGCAAUUUUUUUCCCUUUUAAUUUUACUCUUCCACAAUCCAAGAAGUGUAUGUGGAAUUUCAGUCAAUAUUGAGGCUACACAGAUUACAUACUCCUUACCUGACUAUGAAGCUUUCACUUCACAAGAUAACUACCUUUUAUUUUAAUUUAACUUUGCUUUUUUACUAUUAUUUAUUUAUGCAAGAUCAGUUUGAAUCUGUCACUCUCUAAGCUGUGUAUCUACAGAAUGCAUGAAGCAAAAUAAAUAAAUUAAUUAAUUUAAAAGA